Non-coding RNA from Microcebus murinus (gray mouse lemur), 873 nucleotides. The record is from RefSeq and is a predicted model, not a curated record. Lineage: Eukaryota; Metazoa; Chordata; Mammalia; Primates; Cheirogaleidae.
GUGGACCUUGGAAGCAGGAAACUCAAUCCGGGCAACACGCAGGUCGAUGGUUGGCGUCGACUUUAGGGCAGCUCAUGUGUGUAAGCCGGAUGUUUCCUCUUCAUCCUCUGAAGGCGCCUCUGUGGCUCUCUGUGAAGUGGGGGGCGCUCCUGUUGCCACGUGGAGGACGGACGAGAGAGGCACGCAGGUGUCCCAGGGGAUCCUGCAGCGACUGCUCCGAGGCACAGGGCUUGUACUCUCGGCCCUCACGAGGACACGGCCGUCUCAGCUUGAGAGCUCGGCUGGGGAGAGAGUGUCCUGUCCUGUCGGCAGCUCAUGCCUUCUGCUGCAUCCUGGAGAAGAAAGGACCGAGACAACUUGUGAGAACCGAAGUCUCAAAUAGGAACUCACAGGAGACACCUGCUUUCUGCAGCAGGGUAGAAGUGGUCAGGCCCAGAUGAUCGGAAACAUCUUGGAAAUGAGGCUUCGGAGCUCUCGGAGGCGAUCCCUGUGGCAUCUUGAAGAAUGAGAGAAGGUCUCGGGAGAAAAGAGGUGGACAGGUGUCCCGGCACUCAAGGUGGGAGCAAGGGUCACAGUAAAGCCACCGGUCCUCACUGCAUCUAGGGAGAUAUACAUAGCUAGACGGCUAUGUAUAUGGUGCCAGAAGAAGAGAAAAUUCAACUUUAAAAUAAAAUGUGAGCUCUGUAAGAAUGUGGAACCUUCCCAGUUAUGAACUGUUUGUGAAACCAAACCCAGAAGCAUGCAAAGUCCCUCUGCAAAUCUGCACGAUUAGACCAGAUCUUCCUCCAGGACAGCCGUAACGGAACGGGAGCCUCCUGCGCUCCCGCCUCAAGCAAGGUGCCCUACCACGUGGAGUCCGUGCCGCCUCGGACC